Molecule: unclassified non-coding RNA, 208 nt
Filed under: uncultured fungus
Lineage: Eukaryota; Fungi
Description: sequence contains ITS1
Source: RNAcentral
UUAGUUUAUUUAACUAAUUUCAGAUUUAACAUGGUUAAAAGAGUUUAUUGUGGGCUACUGACGAGCACUGGCCAAGGGUUUAAAACCCCCGACGGUCCAGUUAAAGACGGGCUCGCCAAAGCAACAUGGUAGGUAUACAAAGGGUUGGAGAUCGGGCCUGGAAGACCCUAACUCAUUAAUGAUCCUUCCGCAGGUUCACCUACGGAAA